AUGGAGCGCAAGUCUGGUGCCAGCAGCCGCGGUAAUUCCAGCUCCAAUAGCGUAUAUUAAAGUUGCUGCAGUUAAAAAGCUCGUAGUUGGAUCUCAGUUACAGGCAGGUGGUUCACUUUACAGUGUUACUACCUGAACUGAACCUAUUGCUGGAUCUCAUGGGUGCCCUUCACUGGGUGCCCAUUGAGGACAGACGUUUUACUUUGAGAAAAUUAGAGUGCUCAAAGCAGGCGAAUGCCUGAAUAGUUGUGCAUGGAAUAAUGAAAUAUGGCCUCGGUGUUGUUUUGUUGGUUCACGAUGCUCGAGGUAAUGGUUGAAAGGGACUGACGGGGGCAUUCGUAUUGCGACGUUAGAGGUGAAAUUCUUAGAUCGUCGCAAGACGGACUACUGCGAAAGCAUUUGCCAAGAAUGUCUUCAUUAAUCAAGAACGAAAGUCAGAGGUUCGAAGGCGAUCAGAUACCGCCCUAGUUCUGACCUUAAACGAUGCUAACUGGCGAUCCAGGAGGGGUAUUUAAAUGACCCUCUGGGCAGCUUCUGGGAAACCAAAGUUUUUGGGUUCCGGGGGAAGUAUGGUUGCAAAGCUGGAACUUAAAGGAAUUGACGGAAGGGCACCACCAGGAGUGGAGCCUGUGGCUUAAUUUGACUCAACACGGGAAACCUCACCAGGCCCAGACACUAGAAGGAUUGACAGAUUGAGAGCUCUUUCUUGAUUUGGUGGAUGGUGGUGCAUGGCCGUUCUUAGUUGGUGGAGUGAUUUGUC
This 760-nucleotide ribosomal RNA is filed under the name Candona sp. 34 IK-2020. RNAcentral describes it as "SSU rRNA". It matches the Rfam family "Eukaryotic small subunit ribosomal RNA", at positions 548 to 1315 of the family's 1831-position model. Lineage: Eukaryota; Metazoa; Arthropoda; Ostracoda; Podocopida; Candonidae. The record is from RNAcentral.